UUGGCAACCACUGGAGGUGGAGAGAACAUGUCAGGGUGAUUUCCAGGGCUUCCAAACCUCCUGGCUCCGGGAAGGGUGUGAGCACUGGCUGCUGCCUCAUCUGUCACAGUGCUUUUAGAUAGCUAUGCGAUGCUGAAACUGAUAAGAUAAUUAAGGUGCUAAAGGCAGGCAGCUUAUGAGGAUAAACCUGGCAGCUGCUCUCUGAAGUGGCUUUGGCUGAAAGCUGUGUCCUGGUGAGGUGAGCUGUGCAUGCCAUGCUUCAGACCCACGUUUUGGCACACAGAAGAGUAUCAGAGUGAUUCACUGGAUCACAGGCAGACCAGCUUACUAUCACCUCUUGAGCAAGUGAGACACGCAGGAAGAAAAAGCUUCCUCAAGAUAAGAGCAGGAUCGUAUACUGUACGUGCAUUCAGUGGAUCAAAACAUGAAGCUUUGCUGACAGCAUUUCCUUCUCCAUCCACAACGCUGGUAUCCUCUGCCUUGUAUUUCCAAGGUGUGUUCUCAACUCUGACAUUCAGGUUAUCAAGAGGCUAACACUAGCUUAUUAUCAUGCCAUUUUUCUGACUGCAAGGGGAUUUACACACAGACUGAAGAACUGCAGAAUAGAUAGAGGCAAGGGAAUUACUGUAAAAAAUAAUCCAGCCUCAUUUUUCCUCAUUUGACUCUUCAGUCACUUAUUUGUUUUCUUGGUUAGUAUCCAAAUUUAUUCUUGAGCUUGGUUUGGCAACUCAGCUUCUUC
This 739-nucleotide long non-coding RNA is filed under the name Chloebia gouldiae (Gouldian finch). RNAcentral's name for it is "Erythrura gouldiae (Gouldian finch) lncRNA (ENSEGOG00005003470.1)". The record is from RNAcentral. Lineage: Eukaryota; Metazoa; Chordata; Aves; Passeriformes; Passeridae.